UUGAGCAUGAUUUUUCAGGACAUUUACUGUCCGCCCCUGAGACGCAGCACCAGGUGGAGGGUGGACUCUUUCUGGAUGUUGUAGUCGGACAGGGUGCGGCCAUCUUCCAGCUGCUUGCCAGCAA
This is a long non-coding RNA of Silurus meridionalis, 124 nucleotides long. RefSeq lists it as uncharacterized. Lineage: Eukaryota; Metazoa; Chordata; Actinopteri; Siluriformes; Siluridae. The record is from RefSeq and is a predicted model, not a curated record. The transcript has 2 exons.